This 497-nucleotide ribosomal RNA is filed under the name uncultured bacterium. RNAcentral describes it as "partial 16S ribosomal RNA". It matches the Rfam family "Bacterial small subunit ribosomal RNA", at positions 28 to 507 of the family's 1533-position model. The record is from RNAcentral.
GAUGAACGCUGGCGGCGUGCCUAAUACAUGCAAGUCGAGCGAACAGACGAGGAGCUUGCUCCUCUGACGUUAGCGGCGGACGGGUGAGUAACACGUGGAUAACCUACCUAUAAGACUGGGAUAACUUCGGGAAACCGGAGCUAAUACCGGAUAAUAUAUUGAACCGCAUGGUUCAAUAGUGAAAGACGGUUUUGCUGUCACUUAUAGAUGGAUCCGCGCGGCAUUAGCUAGUUGGUAAGGUAACGGCUUACCAAGGCGACGAUGCGUAGCCGACCUGAGAGGGUGAUCGGCCACACUGGAACGGAGACACGGUCCAGACUCCUACGGGAGGCAGCAGUAGGGAAUCUUCCGCAAUGGGCGAAGGCCUGACGGAGCAACGCCGCGUGAGUGAUGAAGGUCUUCGGAUCUUAAAACUCUGUUAUUAGGGAAGAACAAAUGUGUAAGUAACUAUGCACGUCUUGACGGUACCUAAUCAGAAAGCCACGGCUAACUACGUG